CGCAGCCGCGGUAAUUCCAGCUCCAAUAGCGUAUAUUAAAGUUGUUGCAGUUAAAAAGCUCGUAGUUGAAUUUCGGGGUUCAUCCGUUGGUCGGGCUUUUGGGUCUGUACUGGCGUGAUGGAUUCCUACCUUCUGAAUAACCAGCAUGCCAUUAAUUUGGUGCGCUGGGGAAGCAGGACUGUUACCUUGAAAAAAUUAGAGUGCUUAAAGCAGGCUAUUGCCUGAAUACAUUAGCAUGGAAUAAUGAAAUAGGACGGCAUGGUUCUAUUUUGUUGGUUUCUAGGAUCACCGUAAUGAUUAAUAGGGAUAGUUGGGGGCAUUAGUAUUCAAUUGUCAGAGGUGAAAUUCUUGGAUUUAUUGAAGACUAACUUCUGCGAAAGCAUUUGCCAAGGAUGUUUUCAUUAAUCAAGAACGAAAGUUAGGGGAUCGAAGACGAUCAGAUACCGUCGUAGUCUUAACCAUAAACUAUGCCGACUAGGGAUCGGACGAUGUUAUUUUUUAUGACUCG
Molecule: ribosomal RNA, 508 nt
Filed under: uncultured Acaulospora
Lineage: Eukaryota; Fungi; Glomeromycota; Glomeromycetes; Diversisporales; Acaulosporaceae
Description: SSU rRNA
Rfam family: Eukaryotic small subunit ribosomal RNA
Source: RNAcentral